RNAcentral lists this ribosomal RNA (237 nucleotides) under Triticum aestivum (bread wheat). RNAcentral's name for it is "partial small subunit ribosomal RNA". The record is from RNAcentral. Lineage: Eukaryota; Viridiplantae; Streptophyta; Magnoliopsida; Poales; Poaceae.
AUGGAGCAGCGUCACGCGGACAAAAUGCCGGCGAGCGCGCCGCAUCACGACGAGCACCCGAAGCAGCCGCCUCCCGACGAGGAGGAGGCUUCUUCGCUGAGCCCCACGGUGGCGAGGCUGGUCCGGGAGUCCAUCGCCUCCAAGCCGGCGGACGGCGGGAAGGCGGCCGCGGACGGCUCGUCAGACAUCCUGGCCUUCGCGCGCUCCGUCGACCGCGUGGACUCCAGCCUCGAGUAG